GAUGAAGAACGCAGCGAAAUGCGAUACGUAAUGUGAAUUGCAGAAUUCAGUGAAUCAUCGAGUCUUUGAACGCACAUUGCGCCCCCUGGUAUUCCGGGGGGCAUGCCUGUCCGAGCGUCAUUGCUGCCCUCAAGCACGGCUUGUGUGUUGGGCCUCCGUCCUCCUCCCGGGGGACGGGCCCGAAAGGCAGCGGCGGCACCGCGUCCGGUUCUCGAGCGUAUGGGGCUUCGUCACCCGCUCUCGUAGGCCCGGCCGGCGCUUGCCGACACAUCAAUCUUUUUUCCAGGUUGACCUCGGAUCAGGUAGGGAUACCCGCUGAACUUAAGCAUAUCAAUAAGCGGAGGA
Molecule: unclassified non-coding RNA, 345 nt
Filed under: soil metagenome
Description: partial contains 5.8S ribosomal RNA, internal transcribed spacer 2, and large subunit ribosomal RNA
Rfam family: 5.8S ribosomal RNA (bases 1-120)
Source: RNAcentral